RNAcentral lists this unclassified non-coding RNA (131 nucleotides) under uncultured fungus. RNAcentral describes it as "sequence contains ITS1". The record is from RNAcentral. Lineage: Eukaryota; Fungi.
CUGGGUGGCUUCGGCCUAAACCCCCCAAUCAUUGUGAACGAUACCAGUGGCUCAGCUGGUGGCGGUGAAAAUCGCCCUGGCGGGCACUAGACUCUUCUAAUGUUAUCUCUGAGUUACUUUUAAAUAAGUCA